AAUUAGCAUCAUAUGUGAAAUACCUCAAAGCAAAUAGUAAAUUUAAUGUUACUAUGCAGAUAGGCCAAUUCAAUGAUGGAAAUUGAAGUCACAAACACAAGGGAUUCCAAUUCCAACCCCGUGCUCAAAAUGUCUUAGAAAAGCCAAAAUAUCAAAUGGUAAAUAUAAAACUUUCCCUCAGUUCUAAAUGAACCAGACAGACCACAUUAUGCAGAUCAAGAACUCCAUCCUUGUAGCUAUGAAGCCAAGAGUUCCUCAAUUUUUGCAAUCUGAUCCUCCUCAUUCUUUGUGGUUGGACUCCUAUUAGCCUCAUCAUACAAAUCAUGCUUCCAUUUUUCUACUCGAGCACCACUUGGGCGAUAAACUUGCCUUCCGCUAGAUCUCUCUCUUCCCCUGUAAUUGCCGCCACCACCACCACUAGUGUAUCUUUCCCUUGAAAGGAGGCUACCCCUCUGUGGUUCUUUCUUGUCUCCUAACACUGGCCUCUCAUAUCUGUCAGAAUGGCGGGGGUUGCGAUCUCUUUCCUCCCUCCUUUCACUCACCGAUGUGUGACGAUCAGGAUGACCCAGUCUCACGGGCUCACUAGCUGCUUUCUCAGCAUUUUCAGAGUCCACUGGAAUUUUCUUCUCCCUAAAUGCAGGUCUUUUCCUCACAGGUGGUGCUGGUUCAGCCUCCAUUUUGAAGAAACCAUCAUGGCGCCAGACAUUGUCACCCCCUUUAGCUUGUGCUUUCUCAUCCCUUUGCCGUGAAUCAUAACUUGAUGACUUGUCCAUUGCUCUUUCAUUUCCGACAUCCUUUGAAUCCCUCCAUUGACGCUCGGUAGCUGCUCUCCGACCAAAGUUUCGACCAACUUGCGCGGCAUUACCACGCUCAUCGUGCUGAAAAUAAGAUCGAGACCGAGGUACUUCAGUUGGAUCAGAAUGCUUGCUUCCUUCAUGAUGUCCAUUGGGUUUCUUGUCAGAUUCCUUGCUGACAGCACCAGACUCUACCUUGGAAUCAGGUGCUGAAGGAGCCUCAAGAGGUAAUGCAUCUUGCAGCCGCCUGCGAUGCUUUUGAUCCCGAUCUGCAUGAUCUUCAACAUCCAAGUUGGUGUUGCUAGGAACUCUCUCUGUCACUGGUUUUCCAUCCCUCCUAGACCUCUUGGGACUGGGUUCUCUGUCGAAGCCUGAACGGUGUCGUCUAGAAUCGGAAUCGCGAGC
This 1199-nucleotide unclassified non-coding RNA is filed under the name Hevea brasiliensis (rubber tree). The record is from RNAcentral. Lineage: Eukaryota; Viridiplantae; Streptophyta; Magnoliopsida; Malpighiales; Euphorbiaceae.